Molecule: ribosomal RNA, 170 nt
Filed under: Lutjanus fulvus (blacktail snapper)
Lineage: Eukaryota; Metazoa; Chordata; Actinopteri; Lutjaniformes; Lutjanidae
Description: partial 12S ribosomal RNA
Source: RNAcentral
CACCGCGGUUAUACGAGAGACCCAAGUUGUUAGACACCGGCGUAAAGAGUGGUUAAGACUUAACUCAAAACUAAAGCCGAACGCCCUCAGAGCUGUUAUACGCACCCGAAGGUAAGAAGCCCAACCACGAAAGUGGCUUUACGCCAUCCGAGUCCACGAAAGCUAUGAUA